AAAGGUUAUCUUUAUCAGGUCCAGACAGGACAGACGUUAAGUAACUUUUUCAAGUUCCAAUGUCAUGUACAGGAUGCAUUUGCUUUGAAAAUUCCUGGUAUUCUAUUUCCGAGGUCCACUUAGAAUGGACGACAGCGAAGGAAAAUUGUGAAGUCUUGGGAGGUAAUCUGGCGAAACUGGAAACAUCAGAGGAGAAUGAGUUCAUUAAAAAUGAAGUGAGAACCAGAAAUACCGGAGUAACGGGAUACUGGAUCAAUGGUUAUAAUUACCACAAUGAUAAAGACAUGGAAUGGGUAGGUCAACCCAACCAAUCAAUGUCAUUUAGUGACAUUCAACCUGGAGAACCUGAUGCACCGAUGGAUCAGUUAUGCAUGGUGAUGUGGAAAGACUAUGAUUUUCGAUGGGGUGAUUGCCUUUGUCACAUUCCACUUUCAUAUAUAUGUGAAUUCAUGCACCGUUAAACUAGAUUAAUGCCAGUAUUUAUUCUCAAUUAGUUACUGUACAUAA
Long non-coding RNA from Mytilus californianus (California mussel), 507 nucleotides. RefSeq lists it as uncharacterized. The transcript has 4 exons. Lineage: Eukaryota; Metazoa; Mollusca; Bivalvia; Mytilida; Mytilidae. The record is from RefSeq and is a predicted model, not a curated record.